This 65-nucleotide transfer RNA is filed under the name Ctenisodes sp. 1 EF-2015. RNAcentral's name for it is "tRNA-His". Lineage: Eukaryota; Metazoa; Arthropoda; Insecta; Coleoptera; Staphylinidae. The record is from RNAcentral.
AUUUAGAUAAUUUAAUAAUAAAAUAUUGAUUUGUGGAAUCAAAAAUAUGAAAUUCAUUCUAAAUA